RNAcentral lists this ribosomal RNA (253 nucleotides) under uncultured bacterium. RNAcentral describes it as "partial 16S ribosomal RNA". It matches the Rfam family "Bacterial small subunit ribosomal RNA", at positions 524 to 776 of the family's 1533-position model. The record is from RNAcentral.
UACGGAGGGUGCGAGCGUUGUUCGGAAUCACUGGGCGUAAAGCGCGUGUAGGCGGCCUUGUAAGUCUGGUGUGAAAGCCCGGGGCUUACCCCCGGAAGUGCACUGGAAACUGCAAGGCUUGAGUACCGGAGAGGAAAGUGGAAUUCCUGGUGUAGCGGUGAAAUGCGUAGAUAUCGGGAGGAACACCUGAGGCGAAGGCGGGCUACUGGGCCGAUACUGACGCUGAUGCGCGAAAGCCAGGGGAGCGAACGGG